UUUAAGUUCAAAAUUUCAUUAUUAACAAAUAAAUGGAAUUUUGCAUAACAAAGAAAAUCAGAGAAAAAACAACAAAUGAUGGAAGUUGAUAGGCAAACUUGUAUUUAUUCAAGAAUGGUAGCACACCAAUGGCAUAGCUCCAUGGAACGUUACAAAUUAAGAAAAUGGCAACGGGGAAAAGGUUUACAUUGAAUCACAAUGACUACUAUUAUCCCUAGUAACAAUGACUCCACAAAACCUCGCUUCUGAAGGGAGCAACUGGACCGAUCUUCCACCUUUAGCU
This 283-nucleotide long non-coding RNA is filed under the name Lathyrus oleraceus (garden pea). Its description in RNAcentral is "Pisum sativum (pea) long non-coding RNA (PSAT_LNC029127)". The record is from RNAcentral. Lineage: Eukaryota; Viridiplantae; Streptophyta; Magnoliopsida; Fabales; Fabaceae.